AACAAAGACUUAAGGCCAAUCUCCUUAAAUUAACACUAACUUAUCCAAGAUUGCUGAGUCAUGUAUCAUCGAGCAGGAAAUAAGACCUAUACGCUGCUGGAAGCAAUGGAUCCAAAACAAUUUGGUUUGGUGCCCAAUUCAUGUACUACAUUUUCUUUAAUGUCGAUGUUACAUCGCUGGUUUGAAAACACGGAUGGUACUGGUUUGCGCGUCAGGGUUGCACUUCUGGAUUACAAAAAAGAGUUUGACUUAGUGGACCACAAUAUUUUAAUUGCCAAAGUUUUUAGCCUUGGAGUCAAACCGACAGUUGUAAAUUGGAUUGCUGACUUUCUACGUGGCAGAUCACAGCGUC
Molecule: non-coding RNA, 352 nt
Organism: Paramuricea clavata
Lineage: Eukaryota; Metazoa; Cnidaria; Anthozoa; Malacalcyonacea; Plexauridae
Source: the annotation of a GenBank genome assembly